GAUGAACGCUGGCGGCGUGCCUAAUACAUGCAAGUCGAGCGAACGGACGAGAAGCUUGCUUCUCUGAUGUUAGCGGCGGACGGGUGAGUAACACGUGGAUAACCUACCUAUAAGACUGUGAUAACUUCGGGAAACCGGAGCUAAUACCGGAUAAUAUUUUGAACCGCAUGGUUCAAAAGUGAAAGACGGUCUUGCUGUCACUUAUAGAUGGAUCCGCGCUGCAUUAGCUAGUUGGUAAGGUAACGGCUUACCAAGGCAACGAUGCAUAGCCGACCUGAGAGGGUGAUCGGCCACACUGGAACUGAGACACGGUCCAGACUCCUACGGGAGGCAGCAGUAGGGAAUCUUCCGCAAUGGGCGAAAGCCUGACGGAGCAACGCCGCGUGAGUGAUGAAGGUCUUCGGAUCGUAAAACUCUGCUAUUAGGGAAGAACAUAUGUGUAAGUAACUGUGCACAUCUUGACGGUACCUAAUCAGAAAGCCACGGCUAACUACGUG
This 497-nucleotide ribosomal RNA is filed under the name uncultured bacterium. RNAcentral describes it as "partial 16S ribosomal RNA". It matches the Rfam family "Bacterial small subunit ribosomal RNA", at positions 28 to 507 of the family's 1533-position model. The record is from RNAcentral.